AUGAAUGCGGCCAUCAGUGCGGCCUUGUCGGUGGUAGGCAAGGCGCUGGCCCCUGUUUCGGAUGGCUUGUUGGAGAACUGGGCGGCCAGCAACAGUCUUGGCCCCAACAUCAGCGCCCUCAAGGGGGAGCUGCUGCGUGCGCAGGGGAUACUCUACACCGCGCACGACAGGGACAUCACCAACCCAGCACUCAAGGAGUUGUUGCAAAUGCUGCAGCAGCUGGCGGACGCGGCAGACGACGUGCUUGAUGAGCUGGACUACUUCCACAUCCAAGACAAGCUCAACGGCACCUACAAUGCCGUUGAUAACCAUCCCAGGGGCUCCAUCCAUAACCUCGGUCUCAAUGUGCGGCACACCGCUAGAGCGGUUGCCAACAAAUUCAGGCUCCCCUCAUGCUUGCGUGAUGCUAGUGGGAGUGAGCUUGACGACCAAGAAGAUGAUGAGGCACAAAACCUGCAGUUUAAUCGUGUGGAAAUGUCUAAACAGAUGGCACACAUUGUACAACAGCUAGAUCCCAUUUGUGCUAAGGUGAAGGAAAUUCUUGAUCUAGAGCUCCGCAAACCUACCCAAGGCAGCAUUGCUAGAAACAGACUGAAAACUACCCCAGCAAUAAUAGAGCCAGAGUUGUUUGGGAGGGAUACCGAGAAAAAGAAUAUUGUAGAGGGCAUUACCCAUGGAAAAUAUUGUGCCGAUGGACUCACCAUGCUUCAUAUUGUUGGCCCAGGAGGUAUUGGGAAGACGACUUUGGCACAACAUGUAUAUCAAGAAGUGAAGAGCUCUUUUGAUGUUAUGAUUUGGGUAUGUGUGUCUCUGAGUUUCGAUGCAAAUAAGUUGGCACAAGAGAUUGUGAAACAAAUCCCAAAGGUCCAUGGUGAGAUGAAAAAUACUAUUGAGGAAGAGCUCAUCGAACAAAGGUUAAAGCAUAAGCGGUUCUUGCUGGUCUUGGAUGAUGUGUGGACAUAUCACGAAGAUGAGUGGAAAAAACUGUUAGCUCCCUUCAGAAAAGGAGAGGCAAGAGGUAAUAUGGUUAUAGUCACUACUCGCAUUCUAGAGACCACAACAAUGAUAAAAACAGUUGAUUACUCGAUAAACCUGGGUCAGUUAGAAACUGAAGAUUUUAUGCAUCUAUUUGAAGCAUAUGUAUUUGGUCACCAACAGUCAUGGAAAAACCAUCCUGGAUUGCUUGAUGUUGGCAGAGAAAUAGUGGUCAAGUUGAAGGGUUUUCCUCUUGCAGCAAAAACUGUAGGUAGAUUACUAAGAAACCAGCUUACAUUGGACCAUUGGACAAGAGUUCUGGAAAGCAAAGAAUGGGAGUUUCAAACCAGCAACUAUGACAUUAUGCCAGCUCUAAAGCUUAGCUAUGAUUAUCUCCCUUUCCAUCUACAAAAGUGUUUUUCCUAUUGUGGUUUGUUUCCUGAAGAUUAUGAGUUUGGUAGCAAAGAGUUGGUUCACUUAUGGAUAGGGUUUGAUAUUCUGGAUACAUGUGAUCAAAGGAAAACACUUGAAGAUGUUGGGCUGUGUUAUUUAAAUGACUUGGUUAAUUGUGGUUUUUUCAAGAAGAAUGGAAAAGAUGAUGGCAGCCCUUGUUAUGUUGUGCAUGACCUAUUGCAUGAGUUGGCAGUGAAGGUUUCAUCAUCAGAUUGUCUUACCAUAUCUAGUUCUAAUGUGAGAUAUGCACAAUCUUCCCCGUCUGUUCGUCAUUUGUCUGUCAUUAUAGAUGAGAGAGAUGUCAAUGAUAAAAUGACCUUUGAGGAUUUUAAGAGGGACUUGAGUACAUUACAUGAAAAGCUGAAAGUUGAAAAUCUACAAACUGUGAUGUUAUUUGGAAAAUUCCAUGGAAGCUUUGCAAAGACUUUCGGUGAUUUGUUUGCAGAAGCAAAAUCCAUUCGUGUUAUUCUUUUGUCUGAGGCAUCUUAUAAUUAUAGUCUGGAGGAUGUGUUCCGCGGCCUUCCGAGAUUUGUCCAUCUUCGCUACCUAAGGAUAACGGGAUAUCUUGCACAAUUAUGUUUGGACAACAAAAUACCAAGAUUUUAUCACCUGAGGAUCCUAGAUGUUCAACGCUGCAAUGUCCACAUUGGUGUUCUCAGAGCAAUGAGCAACCUUGUAAAAUUACGCCAUUUUCUUGUCCAAGGCACCGGUUUUGAAUUAAGGCAGAUAGGACAAUUGAUAGAGCUCGGUGGGUUAAUGAGAAUACAUAACAUUGAGAAUGUUGAACGGAAGGAAGAAGCAAAUGAAGCAAAACUGAUACGCAGAAUCCACUUAGAGAAGCUAGUAUUACAGUGGGGUACUUAUGGACAUGAUAUACAUUCUGUGCAAGAACAUAUUCUUGAAAGUCUCAAACCUCAUUGCGAUCUCCUAGAUCUGCACAUUGGAGGGCAUAGAGGCACAACUUGCCCGUCAUGGCUUGGUGGGAAACUCUCGGUUAAAAAUUUGGAAUCUCUUCGUCUGCAUGAUGUAGGUUGGACAAUUCUUCCACCUCUAGGAGAGUUGUGGUCUGUUGGUGAGCAUGGUGAAGAGCAUCAAAGUUUUAUCCCAAGUCAAAGCUUUCAAAAUCUGAGAAGGCUAGAAUUAGUUAAGAUACCAAGGUUGAGAAAAUGGGUUGAAAAUAACACUUGUCGUUUGUUCCCUCAGCUAGAAGUUCUCAUUGUUAAAGAUUGCUCUGAACUAGUGGAGCUGCCACUUUCAUGCUGUCAAUCAGAGCAAGAGGCGAACAUGACCUGGUUUCCUAGAUUACAGGAACUUGAGAUUACGGAAUGCCCAAAAUUGUUGUCGUUGCCUCCUGUCCCUUGGAACCCUGCCGCAUGCUCUGCCAAGAUAGAGCAGGUAGGAUCUGGUUUAAAACAGCUGAAUUACUCAAAGGGCUACAGUUCGGGGGCAAGUUUAACAAUUACGGGUAAGAAUGGUGAAGAUGGCAUGUUCUGGAAUGUGUUGGCAUUCUCUAAGCUAGCUGAUCUAAAAGUGCUGAAGAUUACGAAUUGUCCUCCUCUGCCACUGGAUCACCUCCAGAAGUUAAAAUCUCUGAAGUCGCUCGAAAUAGAUUACUCGGGUAAUAGCAAUGUCUUGCUGCAGACUGACAGUGAGAGUGACAUCAUAUAUGAGUUACCAAUUGAACGCCUCAGGAUUAGUUCUUGUGGCGCUCGUGAGAAGGAAUUGACACAGUUGCUUUCUCAUUUCCAAUAUCUCAGCGAGCUGGGAAUAACUGAUUGUGAAAAGAUAACAAGUGUUGGUGUGGUGGAGCAGCAGCAGAGGAUAAGAGUAGGGGAGGAAAUAGCAGUGGGAGGAGAAGCUGGACUUUUGCUCCCGUCUUCUCAUCUACAGAAAUUGGACAUCUAUGAGUGCCCAGAGCUGAGCCUGCUCACCAGUUCGCUUCAAGACCUCCGUUCCCUCCACAUACGUGGUUGCCCCAAGUUCCUCUCAUCAUGCACAUGGCUUCUCCUUACCCAUCGCUGCCUCACAGAACUAUACAUUCAUGACACCCACAAAUUAUCCGCCAGUUUGGAGCCCACACGGAUGCACACACACUGCAAACUUCAGAAGCUAGACACAGAUGACCUCACAGGCUUCCUUGUUGUGCCCAUCUGCAGCCUCCUCUCCUCCUCCAUCACCUGUUUGUACCUUGCUCGCGAUCAUGAGAUGGAGCGCUUCACUAAGGAGCAAGAGGAUGCCCUUCAGCUCCUCACCUCACUUCAGGUGCUUAAUUUUGUCGAGUUCGGCAAGCUGCAGUGCCUCCCAGCAGGACUACAUAGACUUUCCAGUCUCAUGACAUUAAGGAUUUACAGCUGUCAGGCCUUCCAGUCGCUGCCGGAGGACCUCCCAACUUCUCUGCAAAAUUUGGUAAUCCACUUCUGCAAUUCCUUCAAAUUGCUGCCCAAUGUCAGCCUCCCAAAUUCUCUGCAAAAUUUAAGGAUCUGGGGCUGCCAUUCCUUGGAGUCGCUGCCCAAGGAUAGUCUCCCAAGUUCACUGCAAGACUUAACGAUCGGUCUUUGUGACGCCUGGAAGUUUCUGCCUGAGGAUGGCCUCCCAUGUUCUCUGAAAAAAUUACAUAUUCAAGCCUGUUGCCUGGAAUCGGUGCCCAAAGAUAUUCUCCCAAGUUCACUGCAAGAAUUAAGGAUCCGUUUUUGUCCCGCUCUGAGAUCACUGCCAGAUAGCCUCCCAAAUUCCCUGCGAGUUUUAGAUGUCGACGGUGGCAACAGUGAGGAGCUAAUGAGGCAAUGCCGCAAGUUGAAAGGAGUCAUUCCAAUAAUCAAAGACUAA
This 4254-nucleotide ribosomal RNA is filed under the name Triticum aestivum (bread wheat). RNAcentral describes it as "partial small subunit ribosomal RNA". The record is from RNAcentral. Lineage: Eukaryota; Viridiplantae; Streptophyta; Magnoliopsida; Poales; Poaceae.